CAAUAGCGUAUAUUAAAGUUGUUGCAGUUAAAAAGCUCGUAGUUGGACCUUGGACCUGGACAGGCGGCCCGCCUCACGGCGUGUACUGUCUUGCUGGGUCUUUCCUCUUGGUGAUCUGUUGUUUCGGCAGCAGGGAACCAGGACUUUUACUUUGAAAAAAUUAGAGUGUUCAAAGCAGGCUCGACGCCGGAAUAUAUUAGCAUGGAAUAAUAAAAUAGGACGUGCGGUUCUAUUUUGUUGGUUUUUGGAAUCGCCGUAAUGAUUAAUAGGGACAGUCGGGGGCAUUAGUACUCACAUGCUAGAGGUGAAAUUCUUGGAUUUUGUGAAGACUAACUUCUGCGAAAGCAUUUGCCAAGGAUGUUUUCAUUAA
This 370-nucleotide ribosomal RNA is filed under the name uncultured eukaryote. Its description in RNAcentral is "partial 18S ribosomal RNA". It matches the Rfam family "Eukaryotic small subunit ribosomal RNA", at positions 592 to 976 of the family's 1831-position model. The record is from RNAcentral.